Molecule: long non-coding RNA, 413 nt
Filed under: Prunus dulcis (almond)
Lineage: Eukaryota; Viridiplantae; Streptophyta; Magnoliopsida; Rosales; Rosaceae
Description: sRNA ncRNA
Source: RNAcentral
UUCAGGCUCCCUCUCCGGAAUCGAACUCUAAUUCUCCGUCACCCGUCACCACCAUGGUAGGCCACUAUCCUACCAUCGAAAGUUGAUAGGGCAGAUAUUUGAAUGAUGCGCCGCCAGCACGAUGGCUGUGCGAUCCGUCGAGUUAUCAUGAAUCAUCAGAGCAACGGGCAGAGCCCGCGUCAGCCUUUUAUCUAAUAAAUGCAUCCCUUCUAGAAGUCGGGGUUUGUUGCACGUAUUAGCUCUAGAAUUACUACAGUUAUCCUAGUAGUAGAUACCAUCAAACAAACUAUAACUGAUUUAAUGAGCCAUUCGCAGUUUCACAGUUUGAAUUAGUUCAUACUUACACAUGCAUGGCUUAAUCUUUGAGACAAGCAUAUGACUACUGGCAGGAUCAACCAGGUAGCAUUCCUUUC